Molecule: long non-coding RNA, 2903 nt
Organism: Daktulosphaira vitifoliae (grape phylloxera)
Lineage: Eukaryota; Metazoa; Arthropoda; Insecta; Hemiptera; Phylloxeridae
Exons: 5
Source: RefSeq, a predicted model, not a curated record
AAAUGUUCUUUGUUUGUUUACUUUUUGACUGAAUAUUAUACAGCGACUGUGCUUUUAUUUAUAUAUAUUUGUUCGUAUAUCGUCAUUGAUUUGUAGUAAUAGAAGUAUUUUUUCGAUACAUUGAAAUACAAAUUUGUUAUUUUGUUUUCCUUAAAAACUUUUCAAAAGUCGAUUUAUUUAGUUGUUGCAGCAAACCGUUCAUUUUUUAAAAUUCAUUUAUAAACGUAUUUUGGCAAAGUAAGUCUCAUGUUUUUCACAAUCAAAAACGAGUAAAUGUACUAGACGGGAUUUGUAGUUACAAACAAAGGAGCAAAUCCGAGUUGACUAAAAUGACAAUUUCAAUUAUAAAAUUUGACAGUUGACUUGACAAUUUCUAAGUCAACUGAACAAUGAUUAUAGAAUAAUACUAAGCAUACAAAAUACGUAGUACGAGCCUUUUUAACGUCAAGUAAUGACGACAUUGAGUAUCUGGCAUUUUAUUCGCUUAAUUGAUCAGGUCCGUGUUUAUAGUGCCCCGUAGGAGUCCACAUAUCUGUCUCAUAUGACAUGUCAACUGAAAAUUAUACAAUAAUUGUAAUUUAUAGGUGAUUAGAUAUUGUUUCUAGAUGGAUUCGAUACCUGGAAGGCAGUUAGUCUCUCAUGUAUCGAAUACCACGUGCCGACUGCAUUAACAGAAGGUACACCCGCCUCGUACAGAUAGAUGGCUACUGUCCAGAUAGUACCGAAACUGCUUUAUAGCAACAUCGUCCCUUUGAAAGAAGCCGAAUAUUUGUUCAUGUUCCAUCGACUCUCGGCCAUCCCUUACCACCCUCGCACGGACACAACGGAGAAAAAUGUUUUAUUUUAAUAAGAAAAAAGACGUGGCAAGUGUGCCAGGCACGUGUGUUCUUUCUCUCUGAUUGUCGCCCCCAGCAGGACGCGCAUACGUAUAUGUAUAUUCCGUCUUUUUUUCCAGCUGGUUGUGUUAUUGCACAAUAAUAUUGUAUACUGUAAAUCGAAUUCCUAAGCUCAAGGUGCACACAACUAUAUGUGCGUGUAUUCGUGUGUGUGUAUGGACAGUUUUUUAAAAUAAUACACGAUCAUAAGGACACGGGAUUUCCGCAAAAUGACAUAUAAAAAUACUAUUUUGACAGAGAUUGUUCAUGGAAAUACGUAUAUUCUUUAAAAAAUGCAGACAAUAAAUAAUAUAAUGAAUCGUAUAACUCAUAUUUGUUGAAGAAAUUCUAUUUGAAAAUAUCGUAUGAUUUACUGAUGAUCAUAUUUUGGAUUUUUUUUUUUAUUUAAUGUUUAUAGUUUUCAUCAAAUUAACAAUGCUAACCUAUUUUUGACGUAUAAUGCAUAGCUGUUAUCUUAAAUUCUAAUAAUGUAAUAGGUAUAGAUAAAUAGUCAAACGUUGUGUCAAGGAAAUUACUUUUCUGUUGUUUUUUUAUUUUUUGAAUAAAGUAACAUAAAAAUAUGUUUCAGGCAGUCGCAUAAAAUGAAAUAUUCUCCGAAUUUCGUUUCUUGUAUUCACUGAAAUAAUACUAAAUGUCUAUAGAUAACAAGAGUAAUUAAUGAAAAUAUUAUCAAGAUCCAAGAUGAAAAUUAAAACAAUUUUUAUUCUUUAAUGUUAAGGGUGUUUCUGAAAUACACAUGAAAAAACACGUAGGUAAAUUGGACAUUUUUAAAAAUGAUAUUAAGACGGCCCACGUGGUCAUCAUGGAAUUCAAUAGAAACUACUAUAUCACGUAUGGGCUUAGUGUUAUUUUAAAAGGCGAUAUUGCAAAAAACCGUUGGUCGCAUGUUUCCUUUGAAAAACCCCACUUGGACUCUACUUCAAUGUACCAAGCAGCCGUCCCGAUCAUGCGGCACAUGGCGUGAUGUGUUACAUGUAUGAGACCGCAGAAGAUCUACAGGUAAGAAAAGGAGAGAACGCACGGAACCCGAUGGCGGAUUAUUUUGUUUAUGAUAGGUUAGAUUGACGGGAUCCGUGUUUGUGCGGAGGCGGUGGAGGACCAAGGAAGCAGUCCAGAAGCACCGAGGAGAGCAAAGCAAUGCAGCUGUUGCGUACACCUGGUGUGGCGGACCUCGCGGGCCUUGGCGUAGACGGUCGGGUGGCAGCUGGUCGUCCGCCACAGCCUGCACACAGUACGAACCUAAGAAAGAGCAAGACGGCAGCAACAAAUGCAGCAGCAGCAGUCGUAGGCAGACGCAUACAAAUAAAAGCUGUUUCAAACUCAACCCUGUUGCUUCGCAAGUCUGCCGCCUAACAUAUGAAUGGUCGGGUGUCUCGACGUACCUUAGCCGCGUGCUUCGAUCGAGGGAGUGCCACUGUCGCCGUCAUUUUUGCCCCAAGGAGAAGGUGUGUCAGUAGGUGGUGUGUUUACUGUAAAACAAGAGAAUGGCAACGACAUGAUUGCUGUGGAAAGUAUGGAUUUACAUCAUGAUGCGAAUAAUCUUUGCACUUCCCAUAUUUUAACUGAGGAGGAUCGCCUAAAUAAUUGUACCCCAGAACUUGAAGUAACAGCUAUUGAAGAAGUAGUGUUCAUGGAAACGAGUAAACACGAAGAAGAUGUUAUACGCUAUUUUGGAAUAAAUGAUGAAGCCGGUAGAAUUAUUUAAAAAAAUGGAAAAUUUUAUAAAUUUUAUAAGAAAGAUAUUGUUGGUUCUUAUAAAUAUUAUAAAUCUGCCCAAAAAGCAAAGUUUGUUGUCGAUGAUUUAUAAGCAAAUUGGGCGAAAGAUAUAGAAAUAGUUGGAGACAUUUAUGGUCAACGAUGCUAUUAUUGUUUAAUGCAUGGUUACUAUACAGAGGAAUGUAUUCAAUUAGAUAUUGAUUCUUUAAAUUUUUACUAUCCUUACAUUUAAGGUACUAGUACAAUCUGCUUGGUUAUUCUAUUUAUUCAGUUAUUAUUCAAAUUUAAUAU